UGUCUCAGUUCAGAUUGCAGUCUGCAACCCGACUGCAUGAAGUCGGAAUCGCUAGUAAUCGCGAAUCAGAAUGUCGCGGUGAAUACGUUCCCGGGUCUUGUACACACCGCCCGUCACACCAUGGGAGUCGGAAAUGCCCGAAGUCAGUGACCUAACCUUUAAGGGAGGAGCUGCCGAAGGUGGAGCCGGUAACUGGGGUGAAGUCGUAACAAGGUAAC
Molecule: ribosomal RNA, 218 nt
Filed under: uncultured bacterium
Lineage: Bacteria
Description: partial 16S ribosomal RNA
Rfam family: Bacterial small subunit ribosomal RNA
Source: RNAcentral